UGGGGAAUUUUGGACAAUGGGCGCAAGCCUGAUCCAGCAAUGCCGCGUGCAGGAUGAAGGCCUUCGGGUUGUAAACUGCUUUUGUACGGAACGAAAAGCUUCUGGUUAAUACCUGGGAGUCAUGACGGUACCGUAAGAAUAAGCACCGGCUAACUACGUGCCAGCAGCCGCGGUAAUACGUAGGGUGCGAGCGUUAAUCGGAAUUACUGGGCGUAAAGCGUGCGCAGGCGGUUAUGUAAGACAGAGGUGAAAUCCCCGGGCUCAACCUGGGAACUGCCUUUGUGACUGCAUGGCUAGAGUGCGGCAGAGGGGGAUGGAAUUCCGCGUGUAGCAGUGAAAUGCGUAGAUAUGCGGAGGAACACCGAUGGCGAAGGCAAUCCCCUGGGCCUGCACUGACGCACGUGCACGAAAGCGUGGGGAGCGAACA
Molecule: ribosomal RNA, 427 nt
Filed under: uncultured bacterium
Lineage: Bacteria
Description: bacterial SSU rRNA
Rfam family: Bacterial small subunit ribosomal RNA
Source: RNAcentral